This 769-nucleotide unclassified non-coding RNA is filed under the name Portunus trituberculatus (swimming crab). RNAcentral's name for it is "putative OPA3-like protein CG13603, transcript variant X2". Lineage: Eukaryota; Metazoa; Arthropoda; Malacostraca; Decapoda; Portunidae. The record is from RNAcentral.
AAGAUCAAGCCGCAACAGCAGCACAGCCGCCACAGCCGUCAACAGUGGUCAUGGCUGUUGGAUUUCCCCUGGCAAAACUUGGCGCGUUAGUCAUUAAACAAGUGUCCAAACCUCUUGCUAACGUUGCCAAGAAUCGCGCCAAAAACAGCCACUUCUUCAGGACGUAUGUGUUGAUGCCACCAGCCCAGUUCUAUCAUUGGUGUGAAGUUCGACUAAAAAUGUACGUCAUGAACAUUGGGAGAUCCGGACAGAAGACCACCAUACCAAAGCUGAGUGAAGAAGCAGCAAUAGAAUUGGGAGGGAAUUUACUUGGUGAAGGAGUUAUAUUUAGUAUAGCUGUAGUGAUCCUGGCUUUUGAAGUUUCACGUCAGAAAGAGAAGGAAAAGAAGAAGGAGGAAGCUGAACGAGCCUUCAUUGACAGCUUAGAAAAUCGGAUAAAUGAAUUAACAUUUGCUACUGAAGAGCUUGAUACAAAACUUCGAGAAGUGACAAGAAUAGCAUAUGCAAUGCAACACCAAGCUAAAACACAACAGUUUGAUUUUUAAUUCUGAGAAGAGCCAAAAGUGACAUGGUGCUAAUUCUAGUGAUGAGACUUGGGUUUAUGGGGAAAAUCCAGAAACCAAUUUCCAGUCCUCCCACUGCAAGCAUGCAUCAUCAAAAGCCAAAAUAGUAAAGACAAAUAGGACAUCUGAAGCUAGGGAUACAGGAGUGGAUUCUCCCAGCCAGCAUGAUGCUUCAGAAACAGACAGAUUGUUUGGGAAUAGAACAG